Molecule: non-coding RNA, 244 nt
Organism: Pimephales promelas (fathead minnow)
Lineage: Eukaryota; Metazoa; Chordata; Actinopteri; Cypriniformes; Leuciscidae
Source: RefSeq, a predicted model, not a curated record
UGCGACGGCACCAGAAUACACAUCAGCGUACCAACUCUGACUGCAGAGAUCCAGAAUCAGACAGCGGUGAAGAUCAUUGAGAGGAAUCAGACACAUUGGCAGAUUAUUAUCCUCAUAUCUGCUCUGUUGAACGCUGUUCUGAUCAUUGUGAUCAUAGGAUUCUUAAAGAUAUUUGUUCAUGCAAGAAACGGAGACGACGUGAAACAAUUUCACAGUACAGACCGACGAAAUCUUCAAGAUAUGG